Long non-coding RNA from Engraulis encrasicolus (European anchovy), 1702 nucleotides. RefSeq lists it as uncharacterized. The transcript has 3 exons. The record is from RefSeq and is a predicted model, not a curated record. NCBI's taxonomy places the organism in Eukaryota, Metazoa, Chordata, Actinopteri, Clupeiformes, Engraulidae.
GGCGACUCAACAUCACCCUGGGCCGGCGACUCAACAUCACCCUGGGCCGGCGCCUCAGGGCUCGUGCAUCAACGGCUCACCUCAGCAUUGCCCUGGGCUGUCGCACCUCAACACCACGGCUCAACAUCACAACUCGGCAUCACAAUGGGCCAUCGCCUCAGCAUCGCACUGGGCUGUCGCCCCAACUUUAACGCCAGUCACCUGGUUGUAUCGGUAUCCUCAUCCAUCCUGCAUGACAAACUUAUCGCAGCUACCCACUGGUAGCGAGUAGGAGUUUAUGUCUAUUUUGAUAUGCCGUUUUUGUUCUGGUGCCGUUAUUCAGUGAUGUUUCAGCUUUCUGCUCUGUCCCUCUCAGGUCUCGAUAACCGGCUCUCCAACUCUCCUCUGUCGUAAGCUCGCACUUUCUGCAUUCUCCUGACUAAGGUGCCACCCUUUUUUAUUGCUAGUCUAAUCAUGCAGUUACCGCAAGUUGUUUCUCUCAACCAACCAGGGCAUCCGCCCCACUGCCUGUGUCCAUGCCUGCUUUGCACAAGCAUUCACCGCGCCACACCGCGUAGGUGUUUAUCAUAACUGACAUGGUGUUAUUAUUCUUGGUCGAGAUGUUUUCUUGGUGUUUCAUUCAUUGUUUGUUUCAGCUACAAGCUCUGCUCUCUCCCUCUCUUAGGUCAUGAUUACCAGUUGUCUGCCGAUUCUCCUCUGUUUUAACCUGACCUUUCUGCUAUCCUGGCCGAGGUGCUCGUCUUUUAAUGUUAGCCACUCAUGCUUUGUCUAAAGCUGUCUCUCUCACCACUCUGGGCAGACGCCCGCAUAGUGCAGGCUUUCAGCCGCUGGUCCGACGCAGUGCAUCUUGCAUUCGGCUCAUUCCUCGCUUUGUCAUCUGGCUCAGUGUACUGUUUCUGUUCUGUUAACUCUGUUUCGUUCUUCUCGUUCCUCGCCCAAGAGGUAUACAGCACGCUCGUUCAGAAUCGGCGUGGCCACCACGGCCGCUAAGCGGGGUCUGUCCCCUACUGCGAUCAAGGCGCUGGGCCGUUGGUCGUCUGGCGCAUACGCUUCCUGCAUUUGCCUCACUCCUCAUCACGUCGUUGAAGCAUGCUAUAUCUGGUCACGAUUCCGGCUCUCUACCUACUGUCAUAAUCUAAGUUUUCAGCGCUCUCCUGACCAAGGUGCAUCUAUCAAUCAAAUCAUAACGCUCUGCUGUGUCUCUGCUCUCAGCGCAUCCGCGCCAUGUCUUCUCGCAUAGCCUAAGAUGGUGUCUCCUUGUAAGCGGUAGGUGAGUUCACUUCUAAUCUCUAUUUUGGGGCAGGCUACGCCCGCCUCCAUCUCCGCUGGAGGAUAUGCUGUCCUAUCCCGGAGUUCAACGCGAAGACGGGAACCUUCGCCAAACUGAUUCAUGCAUUUUAUCAAGUGUUAUUGUUCGCCAAACUUUUAUGCAUUCCUGUAUCAUGUCUAAUGUUCAAUAAAUGUUAAUAACGUUCGUUUGCCUCUCGAGUCUUCAUGGUAGAAAUGGGAGCUUGCGUAAAUUCUACCAGGGAGACUCGAAUUUCUCGGCUGUCAAACUUAGCCUACUAGGCCAACCAACAAAUCUUCCUUUUGACAGAUCAUACAUGCGUCAUCAUUGCCCAGGAUCGCCAACCAAUCACAACGCGAGAUUGGGGGUUCCCCCGUUACGCGUCACUCAUGCAUCGUUACCUCUCAGCCAAUG